Benincasa hispida (wax gourd) is the source of this 1800-nucleotide non-coding RNA. The record is from RefSeq and is a predicted model, not a curated record. NCBI's taxonomy places the organism in Eukaryota, Viridiplantae, Streptophyta, Magnoliopsida, Cucurbitales, Cucurbitaceae.
UUUAUAAUCGUUGUCCUUGACAAAAGCAGGCAAAGCUUUAUGAGAAGGGGGAGAAGAAAGCUGGAAAAAGAUUAAUGGCGAGACAUAAUUAGGAAAUUAACAGUUUGGUGGUGGUGAGUAAUUAAAUUUAACAACAUCAAGAAGUAGCUAUCAGUAUUCAGUAUCAGUGGUGGGUUUACCUUGUGAAACAAGGGAUGUCAGAAGAUGAAAGAGAUUGUGGGGACGACCAAUUAUGAGUCAAAACAACGAACAAGAGCAGAAAAGCCAAUUGGGAAAAUUGGGAAAAGAAAAAAAAGGGGCCUUGGUUUUGUGGGUAAAUGACCUCACUCUCAGCGUAAACACUGCAAAAGAUCAAUGAGGGUUUGUUUGUUUGUCUUUGUUUGCCAGCUUAAGCAUGGAGUAAAAGAGAGCCAAACGAGUUGCCAUUAUAGGUGCCCAAACACUUUCUUGCAACGUGGUCACUUGGCAGUUUCUACAAGGAAGGUCCACCUAGUGUGUUAUAAAGCUAGCAAAAAUUGGGCCGUUCUUGAAAACUUGAGAAUUGUUCCUACAUGGUGCCAAAUUGUGUUUGAUGAAAUCAAUCAUCAAAGAUAAGGAACCCUACAAAACAAGGGGGGUCUAAAUAAACAUUAUACUGGUGGAGCGUUCGCUAAAUAAACCACAAUCCUCAAAUUAGGGCUAGAAAAUGAAUUAGGGAAUGUAAUGAUAGAAGAGUUGAAGCUUGUAUGUGUCUUAGAAUGACUUAGUCCAAGUCCAUUGACUCUCUACACGUGAAAGGUUGAGCAAGAUUAGCUCUAUUAAGGUGAGUGUCCAGGCAAGAUUCACUCUUAGAUCCACAUCAAACAAAGAGACCUAAGUUGGAUUCACUCCUACAUUCACGUCAAACAUAGAGACCUAAGUUGGACAAGGUCACUAAUAAAGUGCUUUCCACAGUGAACAUGUUGAAGCAGUUUCAAGGGGGAGUCGUAUAGGUUAAGGAGAAUACUCCAAGAUUGUAUAGGUUGAGGAAUCACACUAGGUGACCAUGCAGGGGAAGUGAGGAGCUUUUCCAAAUGAUAAUGUCUUGUAAUUGAGAGGUUUCUCCUUCUUCUUUUUUUUUUUUUUUUUUUUUUUGGAUGAAGAUACAAAUAUAUAUGGAUGAGCAAAAUUACAAAAGGAAGAUAAAAUCUCCCGACCACCAUGGGUGAGUCACAAGAAAGCUUCCCGAGAGGAAAUUAAAGGCUAAAAUCCCUAAAAGGAUAGCAAUCAUCAAAGGAAAAAAACAAUCGUUUUACACCAAUAGAAAACAUUAAAAAACAUCAAACCAUGAUCCUAGACAAAACAAUAAUUCUAGAAAGUACCCUAAGAGGCCCAAGAAAAAAUUUCUAUUAUUUAGGACAUCAAAACAUCUAAAGUAAAAUUUCAAUAGAAGUAUAAUGGCCAUCACAGAUUGUCCAACUAAUAUGUAUAUAUAAUACAAACUAUAUUCAAAACAACUUCAUGUUUUCCAAAACAAAAGCACCAAGAAAAACGUGGUUGGAUAACCUAUUUUUUGAGUGAGUUUAUUAAUCUUCCAUCACUUAUUUUUGGAAAGUAAAAUAAAACAAAGUACUAUCUCUUGCACGAUUUUGGGAAUACUCAAAUUAAUGUGGACAAUAAUCUUAACUAUUACAAGUUAUUUGAUCAAACUUUUAACGAACUCCUUAAUCCCACAUCACAAUUCAACAAAAGCUAUGAUUCUAAAACACUCUUGUGCAGCAACAUAAGAAACUAAAAGCAGAUAAUGUUCAUUUGUCACAUGACUGCAAGACAGUCUCAAAU